CGGCGGACGGGUGAGUAAUGUAUGGGGAUCUGCCCGAUGGAGGGGGAUAACUACUGGAAACGGUAGCUAAUACCGCAUAAUGUCUACGGACCAAAGCGGGGGACCUCCGGGCCUCGCGCCAUCAGAUGAACCCAUAUGGGAUUAGCUAGUAGGUAAGGUAACGGCUUACCUAGGCGACGAUCCCUAGCUGGUCUGAGAGGAUGAUCAGCCACACUGGGACUGAGACACGGUCCAG
RNAcentral lists this ribosomal RNA (235 nucleotides) under uncultured bacterium. Its description in RNAcentral is "partial 16S ribosomal RNA". It matches the Rfam family "Bacterial small subunit ribosomal RNA", at positions 96 to 334 of the family's 1533-position model. The record is from RNAcentral.